Molecule: long non-coding RNA, 460 nt
Filed under: Androctonus crassicauda
Lineage: Eukaryota; Metazoa; Arthropoda; Arachnida; Scorpiones; Buthidae
Source: RNAcentral
UAUAAAACGAAAUAGUCUUUUAGAGUGAGAAAUCUAAAGACAAUCUAAUAUACUUUCCUUCUCCCAAUACAGCAUCUGACUACGUGGACUUUACCAAUCUGCACUGAAUGACGAUCAACUCCUGAACUAAUGAUUUGAUGUGUUUUUGGGUAUUGCACAAAAGCCAAACUGUUUCUGCUAUUGUCUACAUCAGUGAAUUCUCAACCUUUUUUUGUUGCGGCACACUUUUAAUGAUAUCCAUAAAAGUCCUCUUAUUACUACUGCCUAACCAUUGUAAUAAUAUUAAUGACUUCGUAGAGAGCACUAUUCGGCAGUUACACUUUAAUAACACUUUUUAUUUACACAACACUAAUGUUUUCGGUAAUUCCAAGCCACCCUCUUCAGGUUAUAACAGUUUUAGAAUUUCAAAGUUAAUAGAACAAACGAACACUUAAUAGGCAGAUAACCUACCGAACGUUAG